GACGAACGCUGGCGGUGUGCUUAACACAUGCAAGUCGAACGGUAAGGCCCUUUCGGGGGUACACGAGUGGCGAACGGGUGAGUAACACGUGAGUAACCUGCCCUCAUCUCUGGGAUAACAGUCGGAAACGGUUGCUAAUACUGGAUAUGAGCCUGCAAGGCAUCUUGUGGGUUGGAAAGAUUUUUUGGUUGGGGAUGGACUCGCGGCCUAUCAGCUUGUUGGUGAGGUAGUGGCUCACCAAGGCUUCGACGGGUAGCCGGCCUGAGAGGGCGACCGGCCACAGUGGGACUGAGAUACGGCCCAAACUCCUACGGGAGGCAGCAGGGGGGAAUAUUGCACAAUGGACGGAAGUCUGAUGCAGCAACGCCGCGUGCGGGAUGACGGCCUUCGGGUUGUAAACCGCUUUCAAUUGUGACGAAGCUUUUUGUGACGGUAGCAGUAGAAGAAGCACCGGCUAACUACGUG
RNAcentral lists this ribosomal RNA (465 nucleotides) under uncultured bacterium. RNAcentral's name for it is "partial 16S ribosomal RNA". It matches the Rfam family "Bacterial small subunit ribosomal RNA", at positions 28 to 507 of the family's 1533-position model. The record is from RNAcentral.